Molecule: ribosomal RNA, 460 nt
Filed under: uncultured bacterium
Lineage: Bacteria
Description: partial 16S ribosomal RNA
Rfam family: Bacterial small subunit ribosomal RNA
Source: RNAcentral
CCUACGGGAGGCAGCAGUGAGGAAUAUUGGUCAAUGGACGAGAGUCUGAACCAGCCAAGUAGCGUGAAGGAUGACUGCCCUAUGGGUUGUAAACUUCUUUUAUAAAGGAAUAAAACGAGGCACGUGUGCCUUUUUUCAUGUACUUUAUGAAUAAGGAUCGGCUAACUCCGUGCCAGCAGCCGCGGUAAUACGGAGGAUCCGAGCGUUAUCCGGAUUUAUUGGGUUUAAAGGGAGCGUAGAUGGGUUGUUAAGUCAGUUGUGAAAGUUUGCGGCUCAACCGUAAAAUUGCAAUGGAUACUGGCAGUCUUGAGUACAGUUGAGGUAGGCGGAAUUCGUGGUGUAGCGGUGAAAUGCUUAGAUAUCACGAAGAACCCCGAUUGCGAAGGCAGCUUACUAAACUGUGACUGACAUUGAUGCUCGAAAGUGUGGGUAUCAAACAGGAUUAGAUACCCGGGUAGUC